ACUGGAUGGAAAGGAGAAAAAAGAACCUGAGGGGGAAAUGAGUGAGGGAACCAUGAGGCAUGAUAUAGUCAGAUGUGGUACAUCUGGAAAAAAGGGAGCUGGGAGGAGUCAGGCCAAGAGGAGAAGAGUGGGGAGCUGAGAGAGAGAGUGAGAGAGAGACUGAAGACAGAACAAGAAGAGGCGCUGACAACUCAGCCCACACACAGGGGGCUAGGAGCAAGGAGUGGGGGACACGCAGGUGCAGAUAGAAGGGGCCAGAGAGCUGUGGGAGGAGACAUCAUACAGCAGUCCUCUCAAGUAACCUUAUGUAUACAGAAGGACUGGAGGGAAAAAGCACUUGAGAACACACACACACACACAUACACACACACACACACACACACACACACACACACAUUGAAUGGAGGAUGAAAGCCUGGCUCCCAGGGAACUAAAGGAAGAGGCCCUGCAGAAGGCCAGAGAGACUCCUGCAUACCCAAUUACCCUCCAGCCCCCACUCCUUAAACAGUGGAAAGGGACCCUGGGCUACAGCAGAGCAGAGAAGAAAACAGUACAGUGAAAGGAUCAUACGGACAGACAGACAGACAGUCCUACUGAGAGAAGGGAGACCUAGUAUGCAGCAGUGUCCCCUGAUGCCCACUCAAGGAGUCCAGACCCAUCCAGCUAACACUAAGACACAGGAAAGGGGCAGAGAGGGAGGAGAGCUGGCCCGGGACCCAUCCCUCUUCUCCAAGCUUCUCUCCCAACAGCUUUCUCCACAGGUGCUGAAGGAAAGCCCCUCCUGUUACGGGUGCUUAAACUAAGUGGCCUGUGGCACCGUGAUGCCUCCAGCACACAGAAUGGCAGAGGCUGUCCUGAAAGCUCUUCCCUGGAACACCUCAGAGGAAAGAUGCUAACAACAUGGGUGUGAGAGAAUUAAGGGGUCCAGAGCAUCGGAAACCACCCACAGGCUUGGGGAGGGGGCUUGCAGCCUGACGGCAGCCCAGGGCAGGUCAGGCUAGACCCUGCGGCCAAGGAAGGUGUCAGGCGCAAAGGUCCUGAGGGCAAGGUGUACAGCUGGCCUUCUGGAUGCUGGUGGCCAGCCCAUCCCUGCCGGUGACAAAGGAGGGUGAAGUAUGGAAAGUGUGCCACCACCAGGCCAAGAUCUGAACUGCACCUACCCCAAAGCUUCAAGAAACAGAAUGGGCUGAAGGCAUAGAGGCAGAAUUCAAUGCAAUUUGGGGACGGAGCAGAAUCAGACAGGAGGGAGUCGAUACUUAUGGAGCCACAUUCGAAAACUGUGAGCUGAAUGAAUAAAGACAAAGAGGCACCAGGAAGAGAAGCUCUGAAGGGAACGGUGCUAAAACAAGCUUGGCAUGGUGGAGCAUCCCUGUAAUCCCUCAAUGCUUCUAGCAUCUGAAGACAGAAAUCACUGCAAGUUCAAGGCCAGCCUGGUGUACAGAGCAAGUUCCAAACCAGAUGGGUUGCUAGUGAGACCCUGUCUCAAAAACCAAAACAAAACACACUGGAUCACUACACACAGAAACAAG
Molecule: long non-coding RNA, 1529 nt
Organism: Meriones unguiculatus (Mongolian gerbil)
Lineage: Eukaryota; Metazoa; Chordata; Mammalia; Rodentia; Muridae
Exons: 2
Source: RefSeq, a predicted model, not a curated record